Long non-coding RNA from Cloeon dipterum, 1106 nucleotides. RefSeq lists it as uncharacterized. The record is from RefSeq and is a predicted model, not a curated record. The transcript has 2 exons. Lineage: Eukaryota; Metazoa; Arthropoda; Insecta; Ephemeroptera; Baetidae.
ACUUACAAGAAAUUAUAUUUUAACUGUAACUCUAAAGUAACCUGGUACGGCUGAUUGACAGUCCAAAUCCCUUAUUUACUCCCCACACUGCUUGUAUGAUGAUUUCUCCCUCCACUGUCGGACAUCACGCUGAUCACGCAUCGGGGACAGUUCUGCUACACUAUUAUUUUGCUUGUGUUUUCCUUCUGACAUCUGCAUUCUGCACUGCAAGCACCAACUUGAACUUUGACCUGAGCCUGAGGUUUGAUCCACCGUUUUGCAGUCAAACCUUCCGCCAUCUCCAGAUUCUUGAACACAUGAAACUGGCGGCUAACUUGUUAACGACCAAAAUCAAGCGCAGACGAGUCCGUAUUCAGGCGUUGUUAUCAUUAAAAGGAUUUGCAACGCACCGCUAAAGCGAGAUAGAAAACUGCAGAAUUUGCUCACCCUUUCAACAGCCGAGAAUUUAUUGCCAUGACGACUGAAAAAAGUGCUGCUGUGUUCAUUGUGCCCAAAGACGACACGGAAGAACCAAACUUUUGCAUCAGAACUGGGUGCACAAAACAGGCCACCCAGCAUCCUGACUGGGAGGAUGAGUAUUGCUCUGCGGAAUGUGUUGUUGCGCAUUGCAAAAAUAUAUUCAACCAGUGGUGCAAGACCAAACGGGAGGCUGAGGAAAAAAAUAAGUAACGACUGAUACGUAGGUUUCAUGAACAGAUUUAUUUCCAACAUUUUGGUGCUACACACUUAUGUUUCAUCGGUGAUAAAAAGACAAAUUUAAUGUUGAGUAGAGCUCAUGAGAUUCAGUCGUUCAGUUGUUUGCUCUUAGUUGUAGAGGCUUCAAUCGCGUCCAUGAUUGCCACUCUGCAUUUUAAAACAAAAAUGUUAGUUAGCGCCUCGUCAUAUGACUUUAAAGUUCCAUAAAUAGUGUCGGAAAGCAGUUUUUACAAGUUUUGUACUAAGAAACGGAAAUCAAAAUUUUAGAUUCUUAAAAAACUGUUGCCUUGACAAUUUUGUGGUACUUAAACUAAUACUGUAGCAUUACAAGAAAGUAGAGUUCAAAUUAGCAAAUUAAGCACAUAAAUUUUGUUCCUGAUCAUAAAAUAAAGCAAGAUAUUGUAAGCAAA